Molecule: ribosomal RNA, 468 nt
Filed under: uncultured bacterium
Lineage: Bacteria
Description: partial 16S ribosomal RNA
Rfam family: Bacterial small subunit ribosomal RNA
Source: RNAcentral
GACGAACGCUGGCGGCGUGCUUAACACAUGCAAGUCGAACGGAAAGGCCCUGCUUUUGUGGGGUGCUCGAGUGGCGAACGGGUGAGUAACACGUGAGUAACCUGCCCUUGACUUUGGGAUAACUUCAGGAAACUGGGGCUAAUACCGGAUAGGAGCUCCUGCUGCAUGGUGGGGGUUGGAAAGUUUCGGCGGUUGGGGAUGGACUCGCGGCUUAUCAGCUUGUUGGUGGGGUAGUGGCUUACCAAGGCUUUGACGGGUAGCCGGCCUGAGAGGGUGGCCGGCCACAUUGGGCCUGCGAUAGGGCCCAGACUCCUACGGGGGGCAGCAGUGGUGAAUAUUGCGCAAUGGGCGGAGGCCUGAUGCAGCAACGCCGCGUGCGGGAUGACGGCCUUCGGGUUGUAAACCGCUUUCGCCUGUGACGAGGCGUGAGUGACGGUAAUGGGUAAAGAAGCACCGGCUAACUACGUG